UGGCUGUCGUCAGCUCGUGUUGUGAAAUGUUGGGUUAAGUCCCGCAACGAGCGCAACCCUUAUCCUUGUUUGCCAGCGAGUAAUGUCGGGAACUCCAGGGAGACUGCCGGUGAUAAACCGGAGGAAGGUGGGGACGACGUCAAGUCAUCAUGGCCCUUACGAGUAGGGCUACACACGUGCUACAAUGGCGCAUACAGAGGGCAGCAAGCUAGCGAUAGUGAGCGAAUCCCAAAAAGUGCGUCGUAGUCCGGAUUGGAGUCUGCAACUCGACUCCAUGAAGUCGGAAUCGCUAGUAAUCGUGAAUCAGAAUGUCACGGUGAAUACGUUCCCGGGC
Molecule: ribosomal RNA, 334 nt
Filed under: uncultured Vibrio sp.
Lineage: Bacteria; Pseudomonadati; Pseudomonadota; Gammaproteobacteria; Vibrionales; Vibrionaceae
Description: bacterial SSU rRNA
Rfam family: Bacterial small subunit ribosomal RNA
Source: RNAcentral